This 359-nucleotide transfer RNA is filed under the name uncultured Microcystis sp. RNAcentral's name for it is "partial 16S-23S ribosomal RNA intergenic spacer". The stretch from base 134 to 207 matches the Rfam family "tRNA". Lineage: Bacteria; Bacillati; Cyanobacteriota; Cyanophyceae; Chroococcales; Microcystaceae. The record is from RNAcentral.
AAAGGGAGACCUAAUUCGGGUAUAAGACGAAAAAAUAGUAGUCGAAACCAAGAAUCAAUCCCAAAAGGUCGGAACGAGGUAUGUGGCUUUCAAACUAGGUUCUGGGUUCAUAAAAGACCUGAAUCAGGAACAAGGGCUAUUAGCUCAGGUGGUUAGAGCGCACCCCUGAUAAGGGUGAGGUCCCUGGUUCGAGUCCAGGAUGGCCCACCUGCACAGGUGGCAAAAACAAGAGAAGCGAGGAAUCAGCACCUUAUCUUACUGACAUAGUAAGAGAGAAUGCUGGCUCUGAGUAAAGAGUCCAGAGGAACCUUGAAAACUGCAUAGAGCUAGGUGAAAAAGCCAAAAAAGAAGACCGCAAG